UGAGGAAUCGUCCAAUGGCAGGACACGAGACUCUGAAUCUCGUUAUGUAGGUUCGACCCCUACUUCCUCAGCCA
This 74-nucleotide transfer RNA is filed under the name Acidithiobacillus thiooxidans. Its description in RNAcentral is "tRNA-Gln". It matches the Rfam family "tRNA". From Rfam's summary of the family: Transfer RNA (tRNA) molecules are approximately 80 nucleotides in length. The record is from RNAcentral. Lineage: Bacteria; Pseudomonadati; Pseudomonadota; Acidithiobacillia; Acidithiobacillales; Acidithiobacillaceae.